CACUCUGGAAACCAAGGAAACUCCCCAGGGCUUUAAGGAAGUCACAACCUUAGGAAGAGAAAGAUAACAAGAAAAUUUGAUGUGAAAAGUGCCUUAAUAAAGUUCUGUUCAGAGCACUAUGAGAAAGUAGAGGCUGUGCGUCUAUCUGGGAUUGAAGAGGUGAGAAACAUGUUCCCAAGGGCAUGAUUCCCAUGGGCUGAAUUCUAAGAGUGAAUUGAUGUUGGCCCAAUGAAGUCUUAGUCUUAAGACAUCUUGAGCAGGAAGAAAAUAAAAUUAAAAAUGCAAAUAGUGGGCAUGUGAAUGGCAGGAAAACAGCAAGGGCAAUGGAAGCCAAACCACAUAAUGCUAAGGAGUGUGAAUUUUAUUCUAUAAAAUAAUCUAGGUCUUUGUGAAGAAAUCUCAACAGGUAAACGAUGUGAUUAGACUUGCUAUUAGUAUUAUUACUUACACUUCCAAUGACAUGGACAUGAACUGAAAGGGAUAAGCUGGGUUGGAGGCAAGAGACCAAAGUUGGGAUGUCUUCAUCCCAUUGUGAAAUGGUAAAAGACUUAAUUAUGGAAGGUGCUUUGGAGAUGGAAAGAAGUGUGGUCUUGGUGAUUACGUGGAAUUGGAAAGAAAGGAGUUGGGCAUGUCAAGAGUGUCUAUUGAAUUUCUAACUUGGAUGACCAUGUGAAUGACCUACAUUUCAACCAUACACUGUAGUUAGGUUUCCUGAAUGAUUCCACUAUCUAUGGUGACCUGAAAUAUCAGGAGAGCCUUGCUUAGGAUACACAUGAGUCUCAUUUGGGGCUUACAGAGGUUAUUAUCAAAGUGUAUGUGUCCACCAGGCAAUUGAAUAUGUUGGUCUACAACUCAGAAGACAGAUUAUAUAGGAAGACAUCCUAACUCUAGAGGUCCUGAGAUGGGCUUCAGGGACCUCUCAGCUUUUUAAAAUUCUUACAAGAUUGUUUAUUCUCAUAGCUACAUUAAUAUGGGAAAAUUCAUCAUAUAAAAUAGAUUUCCAAUGGGGUCAAUAAUCAAAGAACUACCUAUAUAGAUAGUAAAGGAGACUCAAAUGUGACAGUCUAAGCAUUAUCAAUGUUUAUGAUAUUGGAGUUGGCCUAAAAUGUGAGGACAUCCAUAAUUUUUCUCCAUUUCUAUUUCUAAACCUGUGCUGUUUUACCAAAUCCCUCUUCUCUGGGGAAAUAGUUUUACUGCUUUCCAAGGAACCCAUGUUCUUUCCUUCCUCCAAAUAUUACCCUCUUGACCACCUGUCAAUUUCUUACUGCAUGUCCUAAUCUCACUCUACUUAAAGAUACAAUUUGUGAAGUUUAUGGUUAUUUUCCUUUCAUCAACCCGAAGAACCCCCUCCCUCCUCUAAAUUUCAGCCAGCCUCUUGUCCAUAGGUUUCAUUUUGCCCUUACAACAUACCUAGCACUUAAUAAUGUUUCAAAAUAAAUACAUAAAUUUUACCUUGAGAAAGCUCUUGAUCUGAUUUUGUGUGGUUCCUUAAUGAUCUGUGUAAGUGUAUGUAUAUAUGUGUACAUUUGUGUAUAUGUGCAAAUUAUUUGCUAUUUUUCUUUUAUUAUUAUUAUUAUUUAAUAGUUAUUUCCCCACUACAAUUUUUUUUCUACUAUCCAGUAUGGUGACCGAGUUACACAUACAUAUACACAUUCUAUUUUUGCACAUUAUCAUGCUCCAUCAUAAGUGACUAGACAUAGUUCCCAGUGCUGCACAGCGAUCUCAUUGCUAAUCCAUUCCAAAGGCAAUCAUUUGUAUCUAUUAACCCCAAGCUCCCCAACCACCCAACUCUCUCCUCUUCCCCCUUGGCAACCAUAAGUCUAUCCUCCAAGUCCAUGAUCUUCUUUUCUGUGGAAAGGUUCAUUUGUGCCUUAUAUUAGAUUCCAGAUAUAAGUGAUAUCACAUGGUAUUUGUCUUUCUCUUUCUGACUUAUUUCACUCAGGAUGAGAGUCUCUAGUUCCAUCCAUGUUGCUGCAAAUGGCAUUAUUUCAUUCUUUUUUAUGUCUAAGUAGUAUUCCAUUGUGUGUGUGUGUGUGUGUUUAUACACCACACCUUCCUAAUGCAAUCAUCUGUUGAUGGACAUUUGGGUUGUUUCCAUGUCUUGGCUAUUGUGAAUAGAGCUGCAAUGAACAUGCAGGUGCAUAUAUCUUUUUUAAGGAAAGUUUUGUCCAGAUAUAUGCCCAAGAGUGGGAUUACUGGGUCAUAUGGUAGUUCUGUGUAUAGAUUUCUAAGGUAUCUCUAUACUGAUCUCAUAUAUUACCUUUAAGUAUAAUUUGGAACACAUAGUAAAUAUUUACAAGGUAAGAGAUCAGAAGAAUAAAGAAAAGGAUGAAGGGAAAUAGGGAGCACACCAAAUUCAGUAGAAAGUGUUGCAAGCCGAGAUUUGGAAAAGGAAGUACCAAUUUUGUCUCAUCCAUUUUUAAAAUAUUUGACCUCUAAAAUGAAUAAAAAUUUGUCUCCCUUAUUUAUAACAUGAAAAUGUUGGGAAAAUUAAAUUAUAUAAAUCCUUUUAAUAAUAUACAAAUAUAUUUUAUCAAGUGUACUUAAGAUAAACGUAUUAUAUGUGGAACAAAGAAGAAUUCCUAUUAAUAAAUAUAUAUUAAUUAAUCAUAGGAAAUUUAAUGAUAGUUCAUAAUAUUUUAUUUUGUUUCCUAAGUGUAGUUUUAAAUGAUUAUAUUAUUUUUUAAUAAUGAAAUUGUUGAAUGAUUUUUUCAAUUGAUUCCAAUUCCAAAUGAAACAAAUGUGAACAGAGUAAAACAUUUAGCAAAAUCUAAACAACUAAGCUACUAAAUUUGUGGAAGCAGUUAAUAAUUCUAGCCAGGAUGAGUUAAAAAUCAUCAUCCCUUAAUUCUGGUGGUAAUAAACCAUUUUUAGAAGAAGUUAAAUGUAAGUGUAUAACAAUUUACAUAGAAAGACUAUUUCUAGAAAUAGAUCAAAAAUACAUUCAUGAUAAAGCAACAUAAUUUUUUGAAAGAAAUAAACUAAAUUUAGAGACUGUGCCAAGUAUUAUUCUAGAAUAAGAAUUUUUUUUUUUUUUUUUUUUUUUUUUUUGUCUUUUCUAGGGCCGCACACAUGGCAUAUGGAGGUUCCCAGGCUAGGGGGCGUAAUCAGUGCUGUAGCUGCCAGCCUAUGCCAGAGCCGCAAGAAUGCCAGAUCUGAGCCACGUCAGUGAACUACACCACAGCUGAAGGCAACGCCAGAGCCUUAACCCACUGAGCAAGGCCAGGGAUCGAACCCACAACGUCAUGGUUCCUGGUUGGAUUUGUUAACCACUAAGCCAUGACAGGAACUCCAAGAAUAUUUACUUUUAAAAAAGAUUUUUAAUUUAUAUUUUAUAUAACAGUUUGUAUUAGAAUAUGUAUUAAAUACUCAUAAACCAGGACAUGACUUUACAUAUAUGUCUGCACAUCUGUGAUCAGUGCUCUGUUCUUCAGUUAAUCAAUACUCAGAGCCUUUGCAAUAAGUGCAUCAAAGGGAUUGAUCAAAAUAUUUAUUUUCCAUAUUUUUUCUGUAUCUUUUAUUCAAAAUUUGAGUCCAUGGAGCCUUGCUUCUUGAUAACUUUUCCAGAAACAAAGUAAUUUUUUUUUCACACAUAUGUGAAAUAAGUCACUAAAUUUGGGAUGGUUAAAAAAAGGUGUCAGGAAGGAAGAGGGUAAGAACAAUGUGAAGAUUAGAGCAGGAAGAGGUGUUUUUUGAAUGAUCUCUUCGGAGUGAUUACAGAAGCAGAUUCUAAUUAAGUCCCAUUCUCAGAGUUGUAGAUUAGUAGAGAAGGGGCCUGAGGGCCUGUUUGUUGUGAGAGAGAGACAGACAGUGAGGAAUGUUCCCACCAUGCCCUGGAGCCAUGAACCUGAAACUACACACAUCCCCUGUCCUUGCCUUCAUGGCCAUGACAAGACUGCAGAUUCCAACACAUAUACAUUUUGAGGGGACUUCUCAAGGAAAGAAAAAAAAAAAUGAAUUACAAAUACAAAAUUAGUUAUGAUUAGAAAUAUUCAUUUAGAAUAAGAAAAUACAUUAGAGGUUUUUGAGACUUGGAAAUUCAAGUCAAUUUUUCUGUGGUCACCUUAGGAGUUUGCUGAAAUGCUUACAGACAAUGGUUCCAAAGGCAAGGUGGCUUUUCCUCACCUGAUUAAGUCUCAACCCAGCACCUCCCAGUGCUCACAGGGACCCACUCAUAGGACCCAAGGAGCUUAAGCUUUGUGGUCUUGGCAAGAACUCUGCCUCUGGCACAAAGAAUCCAUAAGAAGCCAUUGGCUCCACAUUCCAUUCGCCCCAUGUAAGAGACUCAGACAAUGCUCUGCGAAAAAGGCAUCUGUACUUGGAAACACCGGUUUCCCAGCAAGGAAAAAACAUUGUUAUGAAAUGGACAGUGAGCUUGUAAUUGUUCCUACAGCUUGACUGCCUUACUUUGUACCUGUCACAAUCCCUGUGAAGACAAGUUUCAGGCCUGUGUGCACAAUAUGGUAGGUAUGUCCCCACCAGCCCACAACUUGGAGCUCAGGCUGCCAACAUUACAGAUGAAAUUACUCCAAACCCAGCAGCCUGAACUGUUUAGUAAUCACAGGGCUGUUAUAGGCCUCAUCAUGGAGUUUCAGAUGUGAGGAUAUAAAUUGAUUGGUCUGAACCUAUGCCAACUGUUGAUGAGAGUUAAGAAGUCACAACACCUCUCUGUCUGUUCUGACACUCUGACAGGUCAAUAACAUUGAAUUUGCACUUCAGAAGUAGAGCAUUAUUUAAAAAAAAAAUAAUCCAGUUGCUUUGGUAGCUGACAGACAAGAGUGUCAAAGAAUGUGAUAAGGGUGUGAACUGUCUAUUGCAGCCUCCUAAACAGGAAGAAUGGAGCAUCUCAGAGUGGAAAGGUUCAGAAAGCUCACCUUGCAUUUAAGUGGAAGGACAAGACAAAAGAAGGCCAGAAAGAUAGUAGUAAUGGGAUGCAGAAUAUCAGAAUCCAAGUAGUCUAGCGGAAAUAGGGUUUUCGGAUAUAACAGAGGACAUUCAUUUACCUUCCAAAUUCGAUAUACACUUAUAACUUUUUUAGUGUAAGUGUAUCCCAAAUGUUGCAUGGGAUAUAUUU
RNAcentral lists this long non-coding RNA (5074 nucleotides) under Sus scrofa (pig). RNAcentral describes it as "lncRNA (ENSSSCG00050011170.1)". Lineage: Eukaryota; Metazoa; Chordata; Mammalia; Artiodactyla; Suidae. The record is from RNAcentral.